CCACAGGAUAGUGCAUUCUUGUUCAAGUGUGGACUAAUUCUGAGCAAUCCAUUUCCAAUCGUGUCAAUCUUCAGUAUAUAUAUACCGAUUGUGCACAUAUUUGCCUUGAUACGACUCUGCAAAUUUGCUCAUUUGCGCUGGAAAUGAUUUUCCGCCAUUCGUCACUUCUUCCACUUGCUUCAGACCAAAUUUCAUCGUCUUCAGUGUUCUGGAAGCCCAACAGUAGUGCUUCUACGAGUAUCUGUUCGAUUGAGUACUCAAAAUUGUGAAAGUAUUUAAAAUAUGUGGGUGUGUACAGCCCCAUACUUAUUCAAAUUCAAUCUAUUGGACAACGAGAGCAAGCCCACGGCAGUAUGUCCUGUCCGGUGUUUCCUAAUCAACCAUCGUUUUUGAUCUUUGAGAUCAGGUAGUACUCAUCAACGACAAAAUUCAACUAUGCUCCGCUCUCUUCAACUGAUCUUCGCGCUCUUUGCUUUCGGUCUGCGCUCUUAACUAAAGCAUGUUGGACUUCUCUUUGGACCUAAUCGGCGCUCCGCUCGUUUAAAGAUCCGCUCUUAACUUACAGCAUUUACAUAUGCACUUUUCAUCUUCCUAUCUCAUAUAUUGAGUGGUAGGAGGUGUCGAUAUUCGUUGUUCUCUGAACCGAUUAAUUCGAUUUCUGACUAAUUCAAAUUGGAAUAAAAUAAAUUAUGAUCCCGAGGC
Drosophila miranda is the source of this 702-nucleotide long non-coding RNA. RefSeq lists it as uncharacterized. NCBI's taxonomy places the organism in Eukaryota, Metazoa, Arthropoda, Insecta, Diptera, Drosophilidae. The record is from RefSeq and is a predicted model, not a curated record. The transcript is spliced from 2 exons.